UACGUAGGGUGCGAGCGUUGUCCGGAAUUAUUGGGCGUAAAGAGCUCGUAGGCGGUGUGUCACGUCGAUCGUGAAAACUUGGGGCUUAACUCUGAGCUUGCGGUCGAUACGGGCAUCACUGGAGUUCGGCAGGGGAGACUGGAAUUCCUGGUGUAGCGGUGAAAUGCGCAGAUAUCGGGAGGAACACCGGUGGCGAAGGCGGUUCUCUGGGCCUUACCUGACGCUGAGGAGCGAAAGCGUGGGGAGCGAACAGG
This 254-nucleotide ribosomal RNA is filed under the name uncultured bacterium. Its description in RNAcentral is "partial 16S ribosomal RNA". It matches the Rfam family "Bacterial small subunit ribosomal RNA", at positions 524 to 776 of the family's 1533-position model. The record is from RNAcentral.